This 3212-nucleotide long non-coding RNA is filed under the name Olea europaea subsp. europaea. The record is from RNAcentral. Lineage: Eukaryota; Viridiplantae; Streptophyta; Magnoliopsida; Lamiales; Oleaceae.
CCCCUAUCUCAUCUGAUUCCUCAAAACCUUCUGUUUGCACAAGAAACCGUCACACAAUACUCUGUCUAAUUAAAAUCCUCUGAUGAUCGACGGCCAGUCAGCGACGAUGAGCAGGUUGACUGAGACAAAUGUACGAUGGCAUCUUUAACUUGACUAUGCGUUGUUUUGAAAUGGUUUUCAUUUCUGUUUUGGUGGAUUUCUUCAUUUUUUUUGUUUGGUUCGGAAUUUUCAAAGUUCUAUACCUUGCUUUUUGCUGGACAUAAAAUGGGUAGAUUUCACUACUUAUCUGCGUGUGUGUGGGCUGAAUCCUUUGCGUAUAUCUCAUCGAUGAUUCAAUUAUCGAUUAAUGUGAAAUGGUUUAGUGUUUGAUUAUUUGGAAUUAAUUAUUAUUAUUAUUAUUAUUAUUAUUUUGUGAUAGCAUAUUGAUUUUGCCUUGGGUUGCUAUAAAUUUUGUAAUUUUCUGAGCUUUUUACCGUCCUUUUUCAAAAAAUAAUUGAGGGUUUCUUGUGGAUAAACAAUGGCAUUAAACAAAGAAGAAAAAGAGAUUUGAUUGGACUAGCACUUAAUUUUCUCUUUACGUUUUUGUGGACAGCAUUUGCUUUUAUAUUUUUGUAGAGAUCCCUGACAAGUUUGUUAUAUUUAGUUUGGUCUAUCAUCUAGAUUUAUGUCAAAAUAUAUGGUUGCCUUGCAUAAACUAUCGUAUAAUCUACAUCCUAUUCUUCUCAUCUCGGGCUUAGUGAGAUGGUACAGUCUAAAAAAAAUACAUCGAGGAGGAUGUAAGAGAGACCAAGUGGUUAAAGGGAUCCCAUUCGAGUCAUCCGAGCAGGGAUCCUUUCACUUUCCUGGGUUACGUGGUGAUAUUGAAGCCAUUGAACGUAGUUUCUUUUGGCGGUAUCAACCAUUUCUUUGAAGCAGUCGAAGAGAUAAAGAAUGAUUUCUUUAGUGCAAUAGCGGUUCCUUUGGAAUUUUAGCAAUCAAAUGGCAUUAUAUAGCUGGACAUUUUCAAUUUUCAAAUCUAUGGAAGUGAAUGUAACUCUUCAACCAUUAUGACACAACUAAAUUCGUUUUACGCUGCCUGCUUCUCAAGGUGAAUAUCAAUUGCCAUAAACAACAGAAAUUCCCACAUUUUAAAUAGUCCAACCAUCAUUUUAAACAAAACAUUUCAGAUUACAUAAACUGCCUGCUUCUCACUGUGAUUUCACAAACUGAAACCACAAAAAUUCCCACAUUUUCAACAACACAAAUUCCCACUCUUCUAAGACCAAAUUAGUCCCAUAUCAGUUUUCAAAUUGCCAUUUGAAAUUGCCUACUUCUUGCCGACCAUGUUGUCGGACAUGUUUUGUGACUCUACUUCAAUUUGGGUACAUUGCUCUGCAUUAUAGGAAGAAGAUGAAAUUAAAUAUUUGUAGAUGCUUCUCAUUUAUUAUAUAAGAUCAAAUCUAAGAUCAAAUCAAAGGAAAAAAAAAAUAACGUUCUUGUUGUUGUAAGUGUUAUGCCCUAAGUCCAAUCAAACUUGGACAUAAAUAUUUUUAAUAUAUAAUUAAUACAAUUUAAUAGUAGAUCUAUUAAUUAAUUAAUAGAUAAUUAAAUUAAAUAAUAGAGUCCAUAAAUUCAAAUCUUCGUAAUUUGUUAAUCACAAGGAGUUGUAAUUGUGAGAUACAAAUUACAUAUGAUUAAAUCUUAAAUCGUUCAUGGUCGUAAGUAAUAAAGAGAUACGAAUAUCGUUAUUAUGGAUAGACCAUCACGGGUGGCAUUCUUAUUUGUGAAGUUAGUAGUUGAUUUCACAAGCUAAAGUGUGGUGACACUUGAAUGAACAUGUUGAUGUUUUGUUAUACAUUGGAGACCCGUCUAGAGAUUUCACAUGAAUAAUUAUUUGAGUGUUAGUGGGAAUGGUCACUUGACUUGAGGUCAUCAUAAUACCUUAUAUGAGGACAGUUAUACUUUGACGGUGUUGGAUGUUGCUCUGCUAAGGGCUCCUAAUACGGCAUCGUUCAGGUAUGUCAAGAAUCGUAUGAAGGUUGUGAAUGACCAAUAAAGGAUUUGUCACUCUUAGAUAGUAAGAGAUUAUGAUCUGCAUUUCAUUCAAUUAAGUAGAUGACGGAAUUCUUGGCCAAUGUGUACUCAAAAGAGGAAAAUGAGUUUUCGACUUAUAUUGACCUAAUAGUGGAGUAAAAGAUAUGAUCGAAUCGAGAUUGAGGAGUAAAAGAUAUGAUCGAAUCGAGAUUGACACACUUUCAUAUCUCGUAAUUGAUCGGAUCAUAUUAACGAAGGAAUUAUAGUUUCACGGUAAACGAACGAGUUUGAUUUUGUCAUACCACGUGACAUUUCCCGUCACAUGCAUUGCCCUGACACAUUGCUAAAUGUCAAUCUGGAACAGCCAGUGUGAAUUGGUGAUAAAUAAAAAAGGUGUUUUAACUUAUCAAUUUUGAUUAGAUCAAAAUAAUAUUUCACGUCAUUAGGCAUCAUGAUCAGGAACCUGAUGGGUUGCACACAAAAAGAAGAACUGAAAGAUUGUGAUUUAUCAAUUAAUUAAUUUAACAAGUGUUGGAUAAAUUAAUUAACUGGGUUGUUUAUUUAUAGGCCCGAAUUAAUUAAUUGGAUUAAUCAAUUCAUGGACCAGGUCAAGCCAAACCUGUUUGGGCUUAUAUAGCCCCCGUUUGGCCCCCAUUAAAUUCAAUUACAUUACAUUCUAUUUUUCUCUCUUAUUUUCAACCACACAAUCUUCCAUAAAAUAAUAUCACACGUAAAUCAAAAAAAUUUCUUCUUUUUCAACCACUCAUUUUUCAAAAAAUUACUAUUCCCCCCAUUGGGGGCAUAAAUAAGUUAUUAGGGUUUACAAUUUGGUGGAGAUUUAUUAUUAUUGCUAGCAUGAGAAGAAAAUCAUAAUCCUACAAUUUUGUUUUUUGUGUAGAUCGUAGUUGGUGGCUGGACAACUGGAUAGCCGUGGAUGGUGAAUCAAGAUCGUUGGAAAGAAAGAAUGACAAAGGAGUUUGCAAAUCUUGUAAAAUGUACAAUUUUUAUUUAAACAAAGAGGGAUUCUUGGUGGGAAUUGAAAUCUGUUUUAAUUUUCGCUAAUGUUUAAGUAGACUCCCUACAAUGAUAUCAGAGACUACUUUAUUUUUGUUAGAAAUUGCUUUGAUGUUUGGGAAGUUGAUUGUAAUUAUUUUCUUGUUUCUAGCAAUUAAGAAAAAUUAUAUUUUUGAUAUUCAAAA